GAUGAACGCUGGCGGCGUGCCUAAUACAUGCAAGUCGAGCGAACGGACGAGAAGCUUGCUUCUCUGAUGUUAGCGGCGGACGGGUGAGUAACACGUGGAUAACCUACCUAUAAGACUGGGAUAACUUCGGGAAACCGGAGCUAAUACCGGAUAAUAUUUUGAACCGCAUGGUUCAAAAGUGAAAGACGGUCUUGCUGUCACUUAUAGAUGGAUCCGCGCUGCAUUAGCUAGUUGGUAAGGUAACGGCUUACCAAGGCAACGAUGCAUAGCCGACCUGAGAGGGUGAUCGGCCACACUGGAACUGAGACGCGGUCCAGACUCCUACGGGAGGCAGCAGUAGGGAAUCUUCCGCAAUGGGCGAAAGCCUGACGGAGCAACGCCGCGUGAGUGAUGAAGGUCUUCGGAUCGUAAAACUCUGUUAUUAGGGAAGAACAUAUGUGUAAGUAACUGUGCACAUCUUGACGGUACCUAAGCAGAAAGCCACGGCUAACUACGU
RNAcentral lists this ribosomal RNA (496 nucleotides) under uncultured bacterium. RNAcentral describes it as "partial 16S ribosomal RNA". It matches the Rfam family "Bacterial small subunit ribosomal RNA", at positions 28 to 506 of the family's 1533-position model. The record is from RNAcentral.